GGGGUUGUGGCUCAGCGGUAGAGCGCUCGCCUAGCGCUUGAGAGGCCCUGGGUUUGAUCCUCAGCACCA
This 69-nucleotide transfer RNA is filed under the name Ictidomys tridecemlineatus (thirteen-lined ground squirrel). RNAcentral describes it as "Spermophilus tridecemlineatus (thirteen-lined ground squirrel) tRNA". It matches the Rfam family "tRNA". From Rfam's summary of the family: Transfer RNA (tRNA) molecules are approximately 80 nucleotides in length. Lineage: Eukaryota; Metazoa; Chordata; Mammalia; Rodentia; Sciuridae. The record is from Rfam by way of RNAcentral.